Molecule: ribosomal RNA, 253 nt
Filed under: uncultured bacterium
Lineage: Bacteria
Description: partial 16S ribosomal RNA
Rfam family: Bacterial small subunit ribosomal RNA
Source: RNAcentral
GACGAACCGUGCAAACGUUGUUCGGAAUCACUGGGCUUAAAGGGCGCGUCGGCGGGCACGCAAGUCGAAGGUGAAAUCCCACGGCUCAACCGUGGAACUGCCGGGCAUACUGGCGAUCUUGAGGCAUUCAGGGGCGAGCGGAACAAAUGGUGGAGCGGUGAAAUGCGUAGAUAUCAUUUGGAACGCCAAUGGUGAAAACAGCUCGCUGGGAAUGAUCUGACGCUGAGACGCGAAAGCCAGGGGAGCGAACGGG